RNAcentral lists this small RNA (334 nucleotides) under Drosophila virilis. RNAcentral describes it as "GJ25936". The record is from RNAcentral. Lineage: Eukaryota; Metazoa; Arthropoda; Insecta; Diptera; Drosophilidae.
GUGUGUGUGUGCGUGUUCUCGCUGUUUGGCAGAGCAGAGCGACGACCCGACCAAUAAAACCAACUACCAACAACUGAAAGAUAUAAACUAUACACCAAAUAAUUAAAUCAACAAUAACAUUGCAGCUGCAAACAUAGAAAUUGGCCAGCAAAAUGCCAACUGAACUGAAUGCAAAACAGCAGCAGAAAUAUUAAAAACUGACAUCUGGAGGAGCCGCGCCAAGACACCGGCAAGUGGUGUUGACAACAAUUUGCUGAGCAUGCAACGGAAACAAAAGCCAACAGCAGCCGUCGAAGAAGCAGCAGCAGCAGCAGCAAUAGCAGCAGCAGCAAUA